Molecule: long non-coding RNA, 1722 nt
Organism: Pecten maximus
Lineage: Eukaryota; Metazoa; Mollusca; Bivalvia; Pectinida; Pectinidae
Exons: 2
Source: RefSeq, a predicted model, not a curated record
CAAAUUACAUGUGCGUCAGCGAUUCAAUCAGUAAUCAGACCAUAUAACGAGGUUAAGUGGCUUCGAGAAAGGGGAGUAGACAAGAGGAAAUCAAUCGUAUGUUCUCGGCUAAUUCCGUCAAGUUUCGGAGAAAUAGCAUGGCCGUUCGUCGAGAGACUGCCGAGGCCUUCAGAGAUUUCGAAACCAAGACAAUAUUUCGUCCAGCUAGCAAUGUUUAAAACAAGAGCUGGACGUGACACAAGACCGGAAGUGGUUUGGCCAUUGUCGACACGUCCUCCUUGGGACGCUUCCGUGAUGACGUCUGCGGCCAUGUUGUCAUGUUCAACUUGAUGGUGUCAGUUUUAGAUGUCGCAUUUGCGUGCUCUUCGUUGUGGUGGCCGCGAGGGAGCGAGAAUUCCAGACGAGGGAGCGAUAUCAGGGCGGUGAGAUAAUGUGAAGAAAAAAAAAUGGUGACCCUAACACAGAACAACGACUGGGAGUCUUUAAAAUCUUGUUCCAAAUUACCAAAUCAAACGAGGGGAGGGCCUCCCUAAAAUGAUGCCUUUAUUACUCGACAUUGCCGAAUUUGGGAAAAUAGUCUACUGUUUUAUUGGCAAUAUGAAUGGUUGCUGUAAAACCCCUUCUCUGGAGUACUUCACUCGGGGGAAGUGACCCCUUACGAGUUGCCCAACAUACAUGUACAGUGUACAUGAACACGGGAAAAUGACACUUAAAAUCUUUUCCGGUUUUCCUCGAGUCUCUUCUGGUUUAUCCUCUAUAAUAUACACGAACACUUACGGCGAAUUGAGGUUCUUUAAAUACAAUUAAAUUUGAACAGUGGAAGAAGUUUUGUGUGAAAUCCUACACUCGACGGUGAAAAGCUCCGGAACUUUUUGAUAGACUUAAAGUAAAAAGUUCGCUUGGUAAAUGAUCUUAAAAAAUUGAUGGUCUUUUAAAGCCAUCUUCUGUUAUUGGAUUGAGCAGAAAUAUAUUCUGCAUCAAGAUCGCUCGGAUCUCAAGUCCUAAACGAGAGCACAUGACAUUAUCAAUGAUACAAAUGCACUUUGUUGGAAUAAGGAAAAAUCAACGACUCUCUUUCCGCGCAAACGUCCGGGGUUCGAUUCCGAGCAGAUUUCUUUUGCUCUGAUUCCCGGGACAGCCAAACAGUCAGUCCUCUCUAAAUCAAUUAAGAGGAUUCCCGAAAGGUGAAGUUUCGAAUUCGCUGAUCAGACCCGAGGAUAGCCGAAAGGUAUAAAAUCGUCGAUGGUGGAUUUUCGUUUAUUAUAGUUUGUCGCCAGUACCAUCACAAUUAAGUGAUAAGGACAUCUUGGAAAUCAAUGUACGGCUGGGACAAGGUGAUCAUUUAUUGAUGUUGCGCGGCGCAGGUUUAAUGGAGAUUUAUCUACGCUAGGAGAUAAGCAUCUUAGACCCAAUCUAGGCCCGUAGGGAGCGCUGUCAUUCGUCCAUUUCUAAAUGAAAACCGUCUCCACCAUUUUCACGCUCAACCAGCUUACAUGAAUAUACUUGUAUGAAUAAUUACUAUCAGACAAAAUAUCCAUUGGAUCAGGGAGAAAAUACUGGCUACUGUUUAUAAACAAAUAUACAUCAUAUUAUCUUGACACGCGGCAUGAGUACGUGUCAGUCGGUACUCCAUAGAGCUGAAUUAGUAACAUGUUUCUCGAGUUAGUAACACAUGUCUCGAAUUAGUAACACUUGUCUCGAAUAAAUAACACGUACCUCGAA